AUCCAGCUGAUGAGUCCCAACAAGGACGAAACGCGCGUCAAAGUGGAU
This 48-nucleotide non-coding RNA is filed under the name Schistosoma mattheei. Lineage: Eukaryota; Metazoa; Platyhelminthes; Trematoda; Strigeidida; Schistosomatidae. The record is from RNAcentral.